GUGAGGCCGUGGGACCCACAUGAUUUUCUUGCCAUUUUGUUUCGAGCGAAAAAGUGCGUCGAGGUUAAUGGCGUUCAGAAAGCAUCAAAAACACCCUGAGAAUCCGCUUUCGAUCUUUUUUGCUUGCCAAAACUUUCCGCAACCCGUUUGAGGGUCAAAACGGCUGAAUUUGAGUCCGAAAAAUUGGCACCGCCUAUUAACCGCCCAUUAUGGUUUCAGGGGCUUUCCGAAAUAGUGCUAUGGGCGACGUAGUUCCUCACGGUUCAAAAGUUAUGAGGUUUCCAAGUUUAGACUCGUUUUAGGAUGCAAAAAAAAAAAUUAAAAAAUAAAAAGGGGUGCAAAACGAGGACUUCCCGGGAGGUCACCCAUCCUAGUACUACUCUAGCCCAACCAUGCUUAGCUGCAGAGUUCUGAUGGGAUCUAGUGCAUUAGUGCUGGUAUGAUCGCAGCCGUCAGUACAACACUCGCUUUUCUGUAUAUGCUUUGUUUCGGCCAAUCCAAGUAUAAGGCCGUGGGGCCCACAUGAUUUUCUGGCCGUUUUGUUUUGAGCGAAAAAGUGCGUCGAGGUUAAUGGCGUUAAGAAAGCUUCAAAAACAACCUGAGAAUCCGCUUUCGAUCUUUUUUAAGUGCCGUAACUUUCGGCAUCCCGUUUGAGGGACAAACCGGCUGAAUUUGAGCCCAAAAAAUUGCACCGUCUAUUCACCACCCAAUAUGGUUUCUGGGGCUUUCCGAAAUGGUGCUACGGGCGACGUAGUUCCUCAUGGUUCAAAAGUUAUGAGGUUUCCAAGUUUAGACUCGUUUUAGGCUGAAAA
Long non-coding RNA from Brassica rapa (field mustard), 812 nucleotides. RefSeq lists it as uncharacterized. The record is from RefSeq and is a predicted model, not a curated record. Lineage: Eukaryota; Viridiplantae; Streptophyta; Magnoliopsida; Brassicales; Brassicaceae.